Molecule: long non-coding RNA, 4951 nt
Filed under: Gossypium barbadense (sea-island cotton)
Lineage: Eukaryota; Viridiplantae; Streptophyta; Magnoliopsida; Malvales; Malvaceae
Description: long non-coding RNA (GBAR_LNC010875)
Source: RNAcentral
UCAAAAUGGCCCAAAGCCAAUACAUAAACAAGUUUACAAUCUUGACAAAACGGUAGGUUGACCUAAACUUCACCUACUACCACUAAUACACAUGGUAACUUGUGCUAAUUAGCUUGAACAAGGAAACAAAGCUGAUUUAUCAGCUCAAUCAACAUCAAGAUUACAUCAAGCAUAAACCUAACAUAGUUAUAAAGCAACUAAGUUACAUUACUCUAACUUACAAUUACAAAAUGAAACAUAAACAGCUUGCUGACUAGGUAAACCAGCAGCUUCUGCAUGUAGUGCCUUUGACAGUCUUGGUUGCUGCAUGCUGAUCAUAACUUCAAUACUCCUCCUUGGUUAGCAUGUUGCAAACUCCCAUAUUAGUUCUCAGGCGUUGAAACUUGGAAACACUUAGUGCUUUUGUUAAAAUAUCAGCAAUUUGCUCUUCAGAACUGCAAUGUAUCAGCUUAACAACAUGAGCUUGUUCCAUUUCUCGAACUGCAUGAAGUUUGAUGUUGAAGUGCUUGGUCCUUCCAUGAAAAACAGGAUUCUUUGCAAUAGCAACUGCUGAUUGGUUGUCACACAUUAUCUCAGUUGCUUCCUUUUGCUCAUGAUUGAUAUCUUUCAAAAUUUUUCUAAGCCAUAUGGCUUGAUUGACUGCUGCAGCAGCAGCCACAUAUUCUGCUUCUGCAGUCGACUGAGCCACUACUCCCUGCUUCUUUGAGCUCCAGCAAAUCAUAGCAGAGCCUAUGUUGAAUGCAUAACCUGUAGUGCUCUUCAUGUCAUCCAAGGAACCAGCCCAAUCACUGUCACAAUAUCCAACUAGCUUCAAGUUCUCAGCCUUGAUAAACUGCAUUCCAUAGGACAAAGUUCCUUUGAUGUAUCUUAGAACCCUUUUUGCAGCUCUAAAAUGACUUUCAUUUGAACAAUGCAUAAACCUCGAGAGUAGACUCACAGCAUACAUUAUGUCAGGUCUAGUAGCAGUCAAAUACAACAAACAUCCAACUAGACUUCGAUAGGUUGUUUCACAAACCUUUUCAUGCUUGUCUUGGCUCGAGAGUUUUUCUCCAACAGCAACUGGUGUGCUGGUUGCUUUGCAAUUCUCCAUUGAGAAUUUGUUGAGAACCUUCAUAGCAAAGGUCUUUUGACUUAGCCAAAUCCCAUUCUUGGCUUGGGUUACUUCCAUGCCUAAGAAGUAAGACAUCAAUCCCAAGUCUGACAUUUCAAAGUGCUGUUGCAUUUUGACCUUAAAGCUGCUUAGCAUCUCAUGAUCUCCUCCUGUCACCAAUAGGUCAUCGACAUAUAUUGAGACAAUGAGCUGAAUUUCAGCACUAGUUGAUUUUACAUACAGAGUUGGCUCGCUAAGACUUCUUUCAAAUCCUUGACUGGUCAGAUAGCCAUCUAUUCUGCUAUACCAGGCCCUUGGAGCCUGUUUCAAGCCAUACAAGGCUUUGUUGAGCUUGUACACCAUUUCUUCCUUGCCAGACACCUUGAAACCUUGAGGUUGCUCCACAUAAAUCUCCUCUUCAAGGAAUCCAUUCAGAAAUGCUGAUUUUACAUCAAGUUGGUGUAUCAGCCACUGUUUUUGUGCUGCUAAGGCAACUAGCAGUCUGAUAGUGUCUAGCCUGGCCACUGGUGCAAAGGUUUCCAGGUAGUCUGAUCCAUACCUUUGACUGAAACCUUUCACAACCAAUCUAGCCUUUAACUUGUUUAGGCUACCAUCAGCAUUGUUCUUUACUCGAUAAACCCAUUUGACACCAAUAAUCUUCCUGUUUGUUGGUUUAUCAACCAGACUCCAGGUCUGAUUCUUUUCAAUCAUUCUGAUUUCUUCAAUCAUUGCUUGCUUCCAGUCCUCCUGGUUUUGUGCUUCUUCAAAGCAACCUGGUUCAAUAGUAGCCAGUUGUGCUCUUUCAUAAACAUCAACCAGUGAUCGAGUGCCUCUGAUUGGAACAUCAUCUACAUCCAUUUCAGGUGUGUUUUCAUCAUUUUCAACUUGAUCCACUGCGAGAUCUUCAGCCACUGCCUCUGGUUCAGCCUUCUCCCAAUUCCAGUGUCCUUUUUCAUUGAAAACAACAUCCCUGCUAACCAAUAUCUUGUUUGUAGCAGGUUCUAGGAUUCUGUAGCCCUUCUUAACCAAGCUAUAGCCGAUCAGGAUGCCUGCUUGAGCUCUUUUAUCUAGCUUGCUUCUCUUCUCAGCUGGAACUUGUGUGUAGCACAGACAACCAAAGGUUCUGAGAUGAGCCAGUGAUGGCUUAAACCCAAACCAGGCUUCAAAUGGAGUCUUUUCAGCCAGAGCCUUGGUUGGGAGCCUGUUUUGGAGAUAGACUGCUGUGUUAACAGCUUCAGCCCACAGAGUUUUGGGCAAAUUCUUCUCAAACAGAAGACAUCUUGCCAUGUUCAUCAAGCUUCUGUUUUUCCUUUCACUGACCCCAUUCUGUUGGGGUGUAUACACAUUAGUCAACUGGUGUUUGAUACCUGCUUCUUCACAGUAGGCUUGGAACUGAGCUGAGGUGUACUCAGUUCCAUUAUCUGACCUCAUUGCUCUAAGUUUGCAACCAGACUCAGUUUCAACAGCAGCUUUAUACUUCAGGAACACAGAUGAAACUUCUGACUUCUGUUUUAAAAAAUAAAUCCAGCAGUAUCUUGUUAAGUCAUCAAUAAAUAAAAUAAAGUACCUGCUUCCUUUGAGAGACUCAGUCUUCAUUGGUCCACACACAUCUGUAUGCACAAGCUGAAGCUUCUCUGAUGCUCUCCAUGUUGUGCUUGCUGGAAAUGGCAAUCUUGCCAAUUUUCCUUGUUGACAUAUCUCACAGAGCUCAUCAUUCUUCACUGAAUCGAUGAAAUUUUCUGCCAGUCCUUCAUUGACCAUGCGAGCUAUGGAUUUGUAGUUUGCAUGUCCAAGCCUCUGGUGCCAGAGUCUCGAGUCAUCAGUGGAGGCUAUGCAGGCUGAAUGUGAGUCAUUUGGCCAGUCUACUUCAAAACAUUUAUCAGUCAUGGUGACUGUUAUGAGGUUUGAUCCACUUGGAUCAGAAAUUUGACAUUCUUUCUCCUUGAAAACAACUGAGUAACCUUUCUCAAGUAGUUGACUUAUACUGAGAAGGUUCCUAUCGAUUUCAGGUACCAAAAGUACAUUUGAAAUGAUUUUGUCACCUGUAGAGGUAUGAAUCAGCACAUCUCCUCUUCCUUCAGCAUUGAUUAACUGACCAUUUCCAAUUUUUACUUUGGUUUUGCAGGUUCUGUCCAGGGUUUUGAAGAUAGUUACAUCUGGUGACAUGUGGUUUGUGCACCCACUGUCUAGAAGCCAGCCCUUUGAACCCUUUUUGUGAUCUGCUGCACAUGACACAGCAAAAACAUGUUCUUCUUGAUCACUGCUUUCUUCAGCUACUCGAGCUUCUACUUUUUGUUGCUGAAAUUGAUUCUGUCUUGGUUUGCUUCUAUUCUUGCAAACUUUUUCAGCAUGGCCCUUUUUCUUGCAGUGUUGGCAUACUGCAUCUGGUCUAAACCAGCAUCUAUCUUCUGGAUGACCAGCUCUUUUACAAUGUCUGCAGAGUUGGUCACUGCUUCUAGCAGCAUCAGGCUUAGGCCUGUUUUUCCAGAACUUUUUGCCUUUAUGAGUUUUGAUGCUCGAGGCUUCUUUGGCUUGAAAAGCCCCUUCCUGGUGCUCCUCUUGUCUGCUGGCUCUUCUUUGCUCUUGUGCAUACAAGGCAUUGAUUAGCUCAGUUAAGGAGAUAGUUGUCAAGUCCCUUGAGUCUUCGAGGGAUGAAAUUUUAGCUUCAUACCUCUCUGGUAGAGUGGACAUGACUUUCUCAACCAUUCUAGCUUCACUGAAUUGCUCUCCUAGGAGCCUUAUGCUGUUUACAACAGCCAUAAUCCGAUCUGAGUACUGCUUAACUGUUUCUUCCUCUUUCAUUUUGAGAUUUUCGAAAUCUCUUCUCAAGUUGAGCAGCUGUUGUUGCCUUGUUUUCUCAGUCCCCUGAAAUUCUUCUUUCAGCUUGUCCCAAGCCUCCUUUGGUGUUUCACAGGCCAUGAUCCUCAUAAAGAUCACAUCUGUCACACAAUUCUGUAUGCAUGACAUGGCCUUGUGCCUUUUUGUUCUUUCAUCAGUGUGUUGCCUUAUUUGAGCAACUGUUGGAUUUGCUCGAAGAGGUGCUGGCUCAGCAUCUGAGUUGACAACUUCCCAUAGGUCAAAUGCCUGCAGGUAAGUCCUCAUCUUAACUGCCCAAAUGUUGAAGCCCUCUCCAUUGAAGACAGGUGGUGAAGCUGGUGAAAAACCUGAUGAUGCCAUCGUUUUGAUGUUGAACUACAACAGGUCCUCUAAGAAUACGGCUCUAGAUACCAAUUGUUGGAGCAAUAGGCAGCAGCAGCAAGCUUAAGCAGAAUGCUUGUUUUGCAAGUCUCGUGACUUGUAGGAGAAACAAAGCAGAAAACUCAAAUGGAUUUUAAGCAAAACUAAAAAUGGAGAGCAUAUGGAUGAAAACUUGUUGAAUUCAUUCAUUUGAAAAUCAAAAUGGCCCAAAGCCAAUACAUAAACAAGUUUACAAUCUUGACAAAACGGUAGGUUGACCUAAACUUCACCUACUACCACUAAUACACAUGGUAACUUGUGCUAAUUAGCUUGAACAAGGAAACAAAGCUGAUUUAUCAGCUCAAUCAACAUCAAGAUUACAUCAAGCAUAAACCUAACAUAGUUAUAAAGCAACUAAGUUACAUUACUCUAACUUACAAUUACAAAAUGAAACAUAAACAGCUUGCUGACUAGGUAAACCAGCAGCUUCUGCAUGUAGUGCCUUUGACAGUCUUGGUUGCUGCAUGCUGAUCAUAACUUCAAUACAAACUCAUUUCUUAAUUAAGAAAUAUAAUUACGUAAAAAAGUUGGGUUAAGUUUUUUGAGUAGUUGUUCAAGUGAUUAGUUAUUAAUAAAAUCAUUAGAGAAAAAACAUAUUGUAACAUAUUCAAUAAAGUUGCAAAC